UACGUAGGGUGCGAGCGUUAAUCGGAAUUACUGGGCGUAAAGCGUGCGCAGGCGGGCUUUUAAGCCAGACGUGAAAUCCCCGGGCUUAACCUGGGAAUGGCGUUUGGGACUGGGAGUCUGGAGUGCGGCAGAGGAGACUGGAAUUCCUGGUGUAGCAGUGAAAUGCGUAGAUAUCUGGAGGAACACCGGUGGCGAAGGCGGCAUCCUGGACCGGCAUUGACGCUGAGGAGCGAAAGCCGGGGGAGCAAACGGG
RNAcentral lists this ribosomal RNA (253 nucleotides) under uncultured bacterium. RNAcentral's name for it is "partial 16S ribosomal RNA". It matches the Rfam family "Bacterial small subunit ribosomal RNA", at positions 524 to 776 of the family's 1533-position model. The record is from RNAcentral.